GGGAAUAUUGGACAAUGGGCGAAAGCCUGAUCCAGCAAUGCCGCGUGUGUGAAGAAGGUCUUCGGAUUGUAAAGCACUUUCGGCGGGGACGAUGAUGACGGUACCCGCAGAAGAAGCCCCGGCUAACUUCGUGCCAGCAGCCGCGGUAAUACGAAGGGGGCUAGCGUUGCUCGGAAUGACUGGGCGUAAAGGGCGCGUAGGCGGUUCUGCAAGUUAGAUGUGAAAUUCCUGGGCUUAACCUGGGGGCUGCAUUUGAUACUGUAGGGCUUGAGUAUGGAAGAGGGUCGUGGAAUUCCCAGUGUAGAGGUGAAAUUCGUAGAUAUUGGGAAGAACACCGGUGGCGAAGGCGGCGACCUGGUCCAUAACUGACGCUGAGGCGCGAAAGCGUGGGGAGCAAAC
RNAcentral lists this ribosomal RNA (399 nucleotides) under uncultured bacterium. RNAcentral's name for it is "bacterial SSU rRNA". It matches the Rfam family "Bacterial small subunit ribosomal RNA", at positions 357 to 773 of the family's 1533-position model. The record is from RNAcentral.